AUAAGUUACUUAAAGGCAUAAAGUGGAUGCCUCGACUCCAAACUCCGAUGAAGGACGUAACUAGCUGCGAUAAGCUUCGGUGAGCCGCUAAGUAGGCAUUGAACCGGAGAUUUCCGAAUGGGGAAACCCACAAGAAGUCAUGUUCUUGUACGGUAUACUCAAUAAAUAGGUAUAUCGAGGAAACUCAGAGAACUGAAACAUCUUAGUACCUGAGGAAAAUAAAUCAAAAGAGAUUCCCUUAGUAGUGGCGAGCGAACGGGGACCAGCCCAAACCAUAUCCCACGGGAUAUGGGGUUGUAGGACCUCACCAUGAACUUUAUUUCUAUUAGCCAAACGUCUCUGGAAAGAGCGGCCAUAGAGGGUAAUAGCCCCGUCGGCGAAAAUAGGGUAAAGCUCUAGAGUGUUCCUGAGUAGGGUCAGACACGAGAAAUCUGGCUUGAAUCUGGGAGGACCACCUUCCAAGGCUAAAUAGGUUUGGAGAUCUAUAGCGAACAAGUACCGUGAGGGAAAGGUGAAAAGCACCCCGGAGAGGGGGAUGAAAUAGUACCUGAAACUUUAUGCUUAUAAAGAGUCGGAGCCUUCGGGUGACGGCGUACUUUUUGUAGAACGGGCCAGCGAG
Molecule: ribosomal RNA, 619 nt
Filed under: Candidatus Peregrinibacteria bacterium
Lineage: Bacteria; Candidatus Peregrinibacteriota
Description: partial 23S ribosomal RNA
Rfam family: Bacterial large subunit ribosomal RNA
Source: RNAcentral